This 13213-nucleotide long non-coding RNA is filed under the name Jatropha curcas. RNAcentral describes it as "long non-coding RNA (JCUR_LNC003094)". The stretch from base 1450 to 1523 matches the Rfam family "tRNA". Lineage: Eukaryota; Viridiplantae; Streptophyta; Magnoliopsida; Malpighiales; Euphorbiaceae. The record is from RNAcentral.
UUAGAUAAUUGACCACACUACAGAUCACAAACCCCUUGAAACCCAAAACCCAGAAACUGUAAAAUAGUACACCAAACUGAAGGGAAAUAUAAAAACUGCCACCCCACAUACACAAACACUAAAGAACCUACAACAUUCAUGGUGGCGAGCCAACAGCACCACCAGGAAGAGUGGGUCGGACCCUGACACAACCAACCCCAGGAAAGGAACAAAACCCAGAUGGUCCUAAUGCAAUAGUUGGACCAAAAGGGGUUGGGAUUACUGAACCAGUCCCUCCAAAGCUUCCAAAGUAGUUCUGUGGGUAGUCAACUUUCUCCUUGAGUCUUCUUGCUCCUUCAACUUCCAUGGCAGGUAAAACCAGAAACAUGGUGAGGAUCACCGCCGCCAACUUAGCAGCUCUCUCCAUCUUUACUUUCUUGCACACUCUGUUUUUUACUUGCAAUGUAUGAAGAUAUAAAGAAGCCAAGCCAUCCCCCACACAAUGCAGGUAACCAAUUCUGUUGGAAAAUUUAUUAGAGGUAACAGGUUCUGUAUUUGUGUCAGUAGCAAACAAUGUGUAAUGGACAUUGACUGCCUUUUGGCUUCUGCAGUAAAUAUACUUCCAUUUUCUUGACCUGUCUCUUACAAUUUCUACCUACUGCCUGAUACAUUAAUUCCUUUAAAAAGAAUUUUAAUUUUAGAUUAAAAAGAAUGAAAAGGAAAAGAAAAGAAAGCAGUUCGGACGUGUCACAAAGUAGAUGGUCGGUCAUCUGUCUUGAGGUAAGCAAUGAGUAGUUCUCAUAACAACCCCACUGUUAAUUCUGAGCGGGUAAAAAAUAAGAAAAGAAAGCACAGAAAUCGAAAGGUUGCGCCAAUUCCAAAAGUGAAAUUCAGAAAAUGCUUUCCUUUUCUCUAUCUCUUCCUCUUCCUCAGUUCGACCUAAUUUUACAGAGAGUACAACUUACGUCUUCCUCAAUUUCCUGUGUCAAUUACCAUAAUCAUCAUCAUCAUCAUCAUCAUCAACAACAACAGCAACAACUUCUGGGUAUAAUUAGCGGAUGAUGAGAUGUGUCUUUUCUGACUCACAGGUAGCAAUUAGGAUCACGGAAAUUGGAAAGUGCAAGUUUUGUGGUAGCUACUAAAAUCUGGUCGAUAAGGUACAAUUCCAUCGUCUUUUCAACGACUUACAAUUGUAUGCCCAGUAAAUUCUUCUGUUGCUAAUCAGGUUGGCCGACCAGAUUAGCCUGGCCUUUGUCUUCCGAAACUUGUUAUAGAGCUGCGUUAAUUUGGGAAAUUUGAAGUGUUACCAACAACUGAAUCGUUGUAGUAUAGUGGUGAGUGUUCCCGCCUGUCACGCGGGUGACUCGGGUAUAAUCCUCGGCGAGGGCUUUUUUUGGAUUUUGUUGUUGUAAGUAACACUAUCAUAAUUGAAUCAUUUAUUUAAGAGUAAAGUUCAAUAAUUAACAACAAGGUCCCGUAGCUCAGUUGGUUAGAGCGUUGGUCUUAUGAGCCGAAGGUCGCGGGUUCGAGCCCCGCCGGGACCAUUUCUGUAUACUGUAUAUAUUUUUUUGUCUAAUGAUUACUUUUUCUAUCUCCAAAUUAGUAAACUUUUUUUGUCUUUAAUUCACUAAUUAUUUCUUUAAACAUUUUCUUUUAUCUUCCUUCAUUCAAUAAUUAUUUUUUCCAUCUCCAAAUUAUGUAAUCAUAUUUUUAUCUUUUGUAAAAUCACUAAUUAUGUUUAGAUCUCCAAAUUAUUUAAUCAGGUACAUAAAACUUAAUUUCAGAAUUUUUUUUUUUUCAUUUUUUUCUCAUCGAGUAAAUAUGUAUCAUGCCUUGUCCGGUCCUAUGAACAUCCUUUCAUACAAAGGAGAUUAAGAGCACAAAGCACCCCAAGCUACACAAGAAAGGUUUUCUUUUGAACUCUGCACAAAUGCCAUUUAUACAGUGAUAUGUUUCUGUAGCAAUUAGCAAAGAAACAGAGAUCCAUCUUUCAAAAAUAUUAGCACUUCUCACCUUGAUGCAUAUGCAGGCACACAAGAAAAGUUUCAAUAGGUUCACAAAGUCACAAAUUGCCAAUGCACAACAUUUGUUUCAUUAACAAAGGGAAAUUAAUAACAAUGUCUAUAACAAUUUGAUCCAGCUUUUAAAUUAAGAAACAAAUAAAGAUAUAGUUGAUGCCUUCUAAACAAAAUUAUUGUCUCGGCACAAAAAUUGUCUUCUCAAACACAUUGCCCCAUGUUAUUUCCCAAUACGCAUGAUAAUGGACAUAAUCGGUUGUGAAACUAUGCUGUAGACAUGAUGCAAUCAAUUGCCUGUUUGCAAAUGCCUGUCAUUGUGGCUUCAGGCCCAUAAACCUGAAAAGAAAAUGAAGCGCUCAAUUAAGCAACAAAAAUGUAAAUAUAAAUGAUUUCAGUAUAGCAAACGGAAAAGAGAUUCUUUUGUUCGUUAAGCAAAAGGAUAACAAUUGGAUUUUCCUUUUAUGGUCUUUAAAGAUGGAUUGGAAUUUAGAGUUAAAAACGAAUAGCGCAAAAGUAGAACCCAACUUGACCUCUCAAAUCACUCCACCUUCAGAAAAAGCUAUGAUUUCAGUAUUUCAAAAUCAGCAAAGAUCCCAAAUUUACUGAACAAUGUGGACAUGACCAAUAACUGUGUUCCAACAAGUUUCAUGCAAUCCCCGAGCCUAAUUAAAAGAGUAUGUUGUCAUUUCAUACCUCAAGAGGUACUCCCAGCUCUUCUCCCAGACUGCGCAUCUUUGCCAAACCAGUUUGAUAGUUGGGACCUCCUCUUCGAACAUAGAUAUGCAUUCUUGCUGCUUUUAACUUGGAUUCCUAUUAGGAGAAGAAAAUAGUAGCCAAAUGUAUUAGGAAAGGUAAAUAUAACAAUUGAGUUACAGUUUGAGACAAAUUUCAAACAGGAUAUACCUUUUCUCUGAGGGCUCGUAUAAUACCAUUGAAAGUAGCUGCAACAUCUGUGAAGUUAGCAAUGCCACCUCCAAUAAGAAGAGCUCUCUUACGACCAUCAGGAUCAGCGGUGGCACACUGCAACAAUUUAAGGAAUUUGUUUCCUCAAUAUAUGGGAUUAUCUCGAACAAAAGAAGCAAAGAAAUGUAAAAGUUCAUUGCCUCUUACAUCAAUCACAACUCUUGCAUAUUGCAAGACUUCCUCCUCAUUAGGAGCUCCACUAUACUCCGCAUAGUUGCCAAGCUCUGAUGCAUAACCCAAAUCUCCAACCUAGUUAAAUAGAAAAGCAAAUGCCAUAAAAAGAUCGAGUAUAAACCCCAAUGACUGCUGGAAUGAAGCCAAGUGGCAUGAAGUACUUACAGUAUCAGCAUAUAUAACACUGGCACCACCUCCAGCUACCAUUGUCCAGAUACGUCCUUUUGGGUUCAGAACAGUGAAUUUCAAAGAUGCACUUGUCUGUGAACAAAUAAUAUCAUUACUCUAUGUGAUUUAUGGUUCACAAAGUUGAUACCAGCUUCAUACUCAGGACAUUUAUGGUAUUACCUUCUCAUCCAGUGUGUGAAUGAAGCUUUCAGUAGGGCUCAGGACUCUUCCAAAAGGAAGAGGAAACUCUAUAUUACCCCACCUGAUGCACAGAAACAUUUGAAAAAGACAAAAUCACAUAAUGUAACAUAUUUUCGCUGGACAAUUUGUCAAUCAACUGAUACUCCUUUUGUUUUUUCUUUGUAAAGAACAAUUUUCAACAAAUAUAUACUUCUGGAAGUUCUUGAAGGCAGCAGUGUCAUCCAGCUCUCCUCUCAUAUCCAGUGGAUAUGGCUCUCCAUUCACAAGGGUAAAUGGGUUCAUCUCUAGAAAACUGAAGUCCAGAUCUGUGAAGAAUUAAAAAUAAAGUUAGAAGUGAAACUGCUAACAUUAAGAAGAAAUCACCUAAAAAGUAAGCAAUAAACAAAAUUUUACAUAAAAGGGGGGCCUCUUCAUCUCUAAAAAAGAAAAAAGAGAGAGAGAAUGAAUAUUAGAUCAUUUUCAACACAUCAUAGGUCAUGCUGAAAUUAAAUUGAACUACAAGCUGUGAUCCUUGCCUCACAUAAUAUGUUCAGAUAAAAGGCAACCUUAAUCAUAUGCACAAGUUAGUAAUUUCCUAUGAAUGAAUGUGGCAAGGAGAAUGCUCUAUGAAACCUUGAAACCGCACAUACCUUGGAAGACAGCAAAGACGCCCAUAAUGAAGUCACCAAUUUUACCUCGAAUCUACCAAAAAUGUAGAAUAUUGAACACCGGGAUUAGCAUAUGGUUAAUGCCUCAAAAUCAAUAAUGCAACAGAGAGGCAAUUAACAAUGCCAAAUAAAAACAGAAUUCAAACAUAAAAUUCUUGAAAAUAUCAGAAAAUCACUAAGAUCUAGCAAAAUUAAGCGUGCCCCAUAAUAGAAAACUAGCACUAACCUCCAAAGGAAGUGUAGCAAUCAAUGGAGCACAUGCCUCGAAGGUCAUAAGUUUUUCAGUAGGAAGAAAUAUAGUCUUAACCUGAAUGAAUAAAAAUCAAACCAUGUAAGCAUCUUCUGAUAUAAAUUCCACAUGCAAUGACAUAAAAAAGAAUCAAGCAUCAGUUUUGGAUAUACCUUAUCCCAGUUUUCUUCAAUUUCAAUACCUCCACAUUCUGAAAAGCUAAUGGUGGAUCCAAGUCUUUCAGAAACUAUUGAGAGGUAAAAUUCUUGAUUAUGUGGAACAAAUGGUUCAACAAUGAACGUAGUUAUUGGUGCCUUACAGCCACUCAUUUCAACCUAAAGAAAUUCAAUUCACAUUUAAUGAUCUAAAUCAUUAAAAAUAAAAAGAAGAUGAAAACUUUCCGCUUAGCUGGAUUAAGUAAUCACCUCAACGCCAAGCCUUCCUUUUACAAAUUCAGCAACUUGAGCUAGAUCUAAAUUCAAAGCUACCAAACCACUCUUCCCACGUUUCCCAAAUAGCAUAUCUGGCUUCACCACUAAUCUUGAAGAAGAAAGCCAUGGUUCCUGAUUUGUCAGCUCUGUAAAGUCAGUUGACUGUGUCACCUACACAACAUUAUCAACAAAUUAAAAUGAAACCCCUUAAAAUUUGACCAAAAUUCCACUAAAUUCGAUUCCAAUAACACUUAAAGAUUGGAAGUUCCACCAUAGUAGGACUUCUAAUUCAUCUAAUCAAUGAAAUCGAGAAAACACGAACUGAUCAAACUAAUCAGUGAAUGUAGUAAGUAAAACUAGAAACCUGAGCAGAGCAGAUCUGGAGAUCGAUGCCACCAAGGCGCUUCAAGUGCUCCUUGAGAAGUCUUUUGGAGUCGUACUCUCUAAUCUUCUUUCGAGCCAUUUGUUCAAUUCAAGAUCUGUAAAAGGACAACCAACAAUAGUAUAACUAGAGAUACUCUGUUUUUCAAAUGACUAUGUUGAAACAGAGAUUUAUACUCACUAUAUGCCUAAAAUUUAUUGAAAAAAGAAAGGAAAGAUGGAAGUUUUGCUUCAAAUAGACGAUUUUUAAGACUCACCAAACGUACAACAACAAGGGGAUGGGUAUGGUUGGUGGGCGACUGGGGCAAGGUAGACGUUGGAGCCAAUUUCUAAAACCGAACUGGUAAGUUUGAGAUAAUGUCGUUUGCCAAUUUAAUUACAUGAAUUCCCCAGCUACCCCCUUCCAAUCAUAAAAGUUUAGUGUGGUUGUUUGGUCUAUCUAUUAACUGGCAAUAUACCUGCGCGGUUAAAAAAAAUAAAAUAAAGUAAAAUUGAGAGAAUAUAUAUAUAAUUUAUAAAUUUUUGAACGGAAUCUUUUUUUAUGCUAUUAAAAAAUAUUAUAAAAAUAUUUCAAUAGUAAAAAAAAAAAUAUGGCGUGAUUUUUAUUAUUAAAGUAAAAAUUAAUACAAAAACUUGUGUUCAGGAAUAUGAAUUAAAAAUAUUGAAAUUUAUAGAUAUAAAUUAAAAAAAGUAAAAUAAACAGCGGUAAAAAUUCAUUAGUUUGAUUUAUUUUAAAAUUAAUAUAAAAAUUAAUUAAUUCGUUAUUUCAUUAAAUUUCAUGAAUAAAUAAUUUAUUUUAAAUAAUUAAGAGUGGUAUAAAUCUUCAACUAUCAUAUUAUUAAUACUAUAAUUAAUCAAUUAUAUUUAACAUAAUUUAAUUUAAUACAAUAAUUUUUUAUUUUUAAGAUAAAACAAUAACUGCUUAUAUCAUUAAAAUUUAUAAAUUAUGUAAUUCAUUUGUAUCGUUAAAAGUUAUAUAAAUUGUUACUUAACACACUAUUAAUUCUCUAGCGUUAUAUUAAUCAAUUACAUUUAAGACAGCUUAAUUCAAUUAUAAAUUAAUUUAUUUUCAAAUAAAUAUAAAAAUAAACAAUUAAUUCAUAAACAUAUUAUUAAUUUGGAAUCCUACCUGUAAUACCAAGGAAAAUUCUGCAUGCUUUAUAUAUAUGUGUGCGUGCGCGCGCCUGUGUGAUGGUUAGCUCGGUAAGUUAGAAAAUUAAAUUACUAGUGAAUCGAUUAUGUGAGUAGCUUCAUGAUUUUUAAAUGUCUUGCAAUUAAGGAUUAAGUAGCUGAACUGAUAAUUAAUUUGCUAAGUUAGCAUUAUGAGAAGACUUUGGUUGCUAUUGAUAUUGUUUUAUAAAAAAAAUUUAUCAAUUGUCUAAUUUAAUUCUCUCAUAAUUUAUAGAAUUCUCAUUCUAAAAUAAUAUUUAUUCAUCUUUUUUUUUCUAAAAAAUAAUUUUAUUGCAUUAAUAAAAUUUUUCGGGUAAUUUUCAAUAAUUAAUAAUCUCAACAAUAAAUUUAUUAUAUUUAUCAUUUGUUCAAUUCGAUUCUACUUUUCAUCUUUUUCACUUCACGAUGAUAUGUGUUUUCCUUUUUACUCUUAGUUUGCAUGUAAUAAUAUAAUAAAGAAAAAAAUUUAUUUUUGAGUACCAUGUGUACUUUUAUUUGCACGAUGACAAAAAAUUAAUGGAUUUAAGAAAAUACACUUAAUAGUUAAUAGUUUCACAGAGCUUAUACUUUUUUUUUUAUUUAGUUAAUUUAAUAGUUUAAGUAAAAUAGAGUAGUUAUAUUCGCAAAAAUAAUAUUUAUUAUUUAUAUUUUCAAUCAAAUUUAAUUUCAUACCAUGUAGUUCAUAUAUUUUAUUUUUAUCUAUUCAUUUUUUUUAAUUUUUUUAAUUUCUUUAAAUUCAUCAAAGAAGUAAUUUUGUUAAUAAGCAAAUUAAACAUUGUUAUUUAUAAGAACAUUAUUAAUAUUGAAACUGAUUACAAGGGAACUAAAUUUGAGGUUAGGUGACUACACAAAUCAGCUAAGCACGUGCACUGCAGGGUCAGCACGAGGAUGGGGAAUGAUGGGGAAGGUAGGGAAUGUCUGUGACUAGCAUGAUUCAGCAUGCAUUCAUAAACAUAUUAUUAAUUUGGAAUCCUACCUGUAAUACCAAGGAAAAUUCUGCAUGCUUUAUAUAUAUGUGUGCGUGCGCGCGCCUGUGUGAUGGUUAGCUCGGUAAGUUAGAAAAUUAAAUUACUAGUGAAUCGAUUAUGUGAGUAGCUUCAUGAUUUUUAAAUGUCUUGCAAUUAAGGAUUAAGUAGCUGAACUGAUAAUUAAUUUGCUAAGUUAGCAUUAUGAGAAGACUUUGGUUGCUAUUGAUAUUGUUUUAUAAAAAAAAUUUAUCAAUUGUCUAAUUUAAUUCUCUCAUAAUUUAUAGAAUUCUCAUUCUAAAAUAAUAUUUAUUCAUCUUUUUUUUUCUAAAAAAUAAUUUUAUUGCAUUAAUAAAAUUUUUCGGGUAAUUUUCAAUAAUUAAUAAUCUCAACAAUAAAUUUAUUAUAUUUAUCAUUUGUUCAAUUCGAUUCUACUUUUCAUCUUUUUCACUUCACGAUGAUAUGUGUUUUCCUUUUUACUCUUAGUUUGCAUGUAAUAAUAUAAUAAAGAAAAAAAUUUAUUUUUGAGUACCAUGUGUACUUUUAUUUGCACGAUGACAAAAAAUUAAUGGAUUUAAGAAAAUACACUUAAUAGUUAAUAGUUUCACAGAGCUUAUACUUUUUUUUUUAUUUAGUUAAUUUAAUAGUUUAAGUAAAAUAGAGUAGUUAUAUUCGCAAAAAUAAUAUUUAUUAUUUAUAUUUUCAAUCAAAUUUAAUUUCAUACCAUGUAGUUCAUAUAUUUUAUUUUUAUCUAUUCAUUUUUUUUAAUUUUUUUAAUUUCUUUAAAUUCAUCAAAGAAGUAAUUUUGUUAAUAAGCAAAUUAAACAUUGUUAUUUAUAAGAACAUUAUUAAUAUUGAAACUGAUUACAAGGGAACUAAAUUUGAGGUUAGGUGACUACACAAAUCAGCUAAGCACGUGCACUGCAGGGUCAGCACGAGGAUGGGGAAUGAUGGGGAAGGUAGGGAAUGUCUGUGACUAGCAUGAUUCAGCAUGCAAAAUCAGAUUGCUCCAUCCAGUGCCCUUCACUGAGUUCCCCACUCAGAAACACAAAAGCUAAAGCUUCCUGCAUCAAAUUCUAUGCACGCAUAUAGUAAUUUUCCUCUAAGAUUAUAAAAUAUAAAUUCACAUAAUUAGAGUAAAUCACAGGCAAAGAAGGAAAAUAUGCAAAAUUUAAUAUUCAGAUAGAAAGAAAUGCAGAACUUUAUGUGAAUUUUUGAUUUCCAGUAUUUUACAAGCAACAGCACAGCUAAAACUCUUGGUCUAAAUUUAAACCACUAUCUUACAAGCACGGAAUCGUAAUUUAACAAGAUUGUUCAAAAUGCAAAGAGAAUAGCAAUAUAAGAGACCUUUUCAACAUAUGCUUUCUCAGAAGAAGGCUAGACUAGACAACUAUGAUCUGCUGAUGCAUUACUCUGCUGGUUUACCUUUAAUAAAGCAAUAAAACAACAUGGAUAUCUACUUUCACCUUAACUUAGGCCUUUUGGGAAGGCUACUGCCAGCAUUCCUUCUAUCAGGUGCUCGAGGUGGUGGUGCUCGAGCCUUACCGAAAGCCUUCAUUUUCCUUCUUUUUCUCUCCUCCUCGCUGUCCGAGUCAUCCCCUUUCUCCCUGUCUGCAUAGCUUGCUUCCCUCUCCAGCUCAUCCCAUGUCUUUCCGUCAUCCUCAUCUGAGUCUUCCUCAGAGUCCUCAUCCUCAUCAUCUUCAGAUUCCACCAGUGACUCACUAUCAUCAUCCUCAUCUUCAGAUACUGAGUCAGAUUGCACAUCUGAAGGCUCAUAUCCUUGGUCUGAUUCUGCUGAGUUGUCUGAAUCUGAUUCGCUAGCUUCCAUGUUUAAAAAUUCCCAACCACCAUCCUCUAUGAAUUUUUCUGGAUCAUCAGUGAUAGUUUUCAAUAUAGGCCGCCAGUUCAGAUUUAAUCUACUCUCGUAGUACUUGAGGUCAGUUGUGUUUAGCCAUUCCUUGAUGUUAUCAAGUGAUGUGGAUGGAAUAGAGUCUAUCCGAAGGACAUCCCUCUUGAAGUCUUUAAAUACAAUAGUCAUAUCAAAAUUCUUCUGCCCAAGACCAACUCUCUCCAGAUUAACUAUCUCAAUCUCACUCAGAGUGAUAACAACAAAAGGCGUUUCUACCAGUUCAACCAGGCAGGUUGAUGUAGGGACAAUGAAAGCUGAGGCUUUGUGAGGCACGCCAUGGAACCCAAGCUCUCUCAGAGGUUGAUCAAACUCAAGGUCAAAUGCUUUGAAUUGGGGUUGGCCCCAAACAUCAUUCACUCGGUUUACGAAAUUCUGGAAGUCCAUGUUUAUUUUAUUCUUUCGAUCCCUCUCUCGUUGUUCUUCCUCUAUCUCAUCUGGGUCAUAGGCAGAUCUCUUUCCACCUCCAACUGUCUGGACCACAUCCAUUACCUCAAUAUAAAACUGAACAUCCUUGGUCUUUCUGUUCCCAACCAUUAUGUGAUUGUGCAAAUGAAAAUGCAGAAGAGUGAUCAUUUCCUUGUCUGCUGGUUGGAAGAAUGCAUGUUUGAUGUUACCAAACAUGACAUCAACACGUUCAUCUGGCCUUGAAGUUGAGUAGCGGAACCCAUUUGCAUGAGCUUCGAGUGAACCAGUCAGCUUUCUUCCACGACCACCAAAAGGUGGGCGAAUCCAUAGAUCCAGCAAUUUGAUCGGCUUGAAUUUGGCAGAUGCAAGUUGCAGUUUUUCCUGAGUAACUAAGGUUGCCCUUUCAGCCCUCUCAGACUCUCUGGAAUUGACCUGCCGACGCAGGGUUUUAAUCUGUUGCACCACUUCACUGAUAUGUCUAGAAUCCUUGGAGCGAAAUGAAACUUCCUUCAAAUAUAUUGAUCCUUGAAACUUAAGAGUAUUUGCAUCAUGAGGACUGAAAGGAGUACCAGGGACGUUAAAUAUUAUCCUUAUGUAGCAUGUUCGAUUACUAUCCUGCUGGCUCGACACACUCUUGACAGUAGCAACAUGGAAAGGCACCAUGCUUCCAUGAAUUGGCAAAAGGACAGCCUCAUUCUUCUGGUCAAUCUGAAUCAUCAAGUCUCUUGGAAGGGGCAAGUCGUUAACAUUCUUAUAAGCAAUUAAAUCACCAAUCAUCUUCGCAGAACCUCGACUGUCUGAUGCACCAGAACCCCCACCAGCAAGCCUCCUGGCAGUCUCUUCAUUCUUCUGGCGGGCAAGUUCAGCCUGGUGCUGCCUCCGCAAUUCUUCCUUUGAUAUUUCCUGGUGGUCUGACCUGAGUGUUGCCUUAGACAAUGUGGUUUCACCCGCUUUAUCUUCAGAUCUGGUUUUUGGCCUAUCUUCUUCUUCUUCAUCAUCCUCAUUGAAUGAGUAAGCCACAUCCUUGACCGCCUUGGAACUCUUUGAAGUUACUACAUCUGGGGACUUUUCACCAACAAUCACUGUGUCAGCAAGUAACACUGAGAAUUUCUGGGUCUUUGGAUUUUUAGUCUCUGUCUGCAAAUUCUGAAAGCCAAGUACCACAUUGAAAACCAUUCCAGGCUUCAAAAUUCGAUCAUUCUUAGAGUUAAGACUGAGGCCUGACUCACGAAACUCAAGGCCAAUUCCAGUUCCUGCAGUUUUGGUCAAGUUUGGAGUUAAUUCUGGCGCAUCCUUCUCAACUACAGAGAGUGCUGCUUGGUAAACAGCACUGACUUUAUUCCCAGAUCUCAAUGCAUUAAUUGCCGCUUCAUGGGCUUUAAGAAGGACUUCAUAUGCCUUGCUCUGCGUGGAAUUGGCAUCAAUCAGAAAGGUUCUAGCAACAUUUGUACAGUAGCUGUUGUAUCGGGAUCCUAUGGCACAUAUGAUCACACUAGUGGAGUCAUAGUAAAGAUUCUCAUCAUUGCUUGCAGCACUUGGUUUGAGAUCAAACUCUCCUCCACUCUGAAAAAUUGGAGGGUAACAUAUGUCAAUAUUCUCUGCCUUCAGCUUCACUUUAAUUCUAGCAGGUUCUAGAAUUGCCUUUUCUGUGUCAUCCAUCAAUGACGAAUGGGAGACUUUCUUCUCUUCAUCAAUGACCUUUUCAAGCUUUGGUACCACAAAUUGCUUCAUCACUGAUGAAAUCAAGAAUGCUGCUUUCCUCACAUUUGUAAGCUCAUUGUUGUCUUUGACAGCAAACAAGUCUGAGAAUGCAUUUGUUACAUCACUUAACUCACAAUUUGCAUUCUUUAAUUUUCCAUCCCAUAUCUCCAAAAGCUUUCCCUCAGGACUUUCCCUUGCUAUGUAUCCAAUGACAGGAAUAUCAUGAUUAGUAGAGUUUGACUGGGCAUGAACAGCACGAAAAAUGUUAUCCAUCAAGCCACUUCCAUCAUCAUUUUUGGCCUUCACAUGCAUCACAACUUCAACACCUACAGACUCCUUUGCGGACUUCUUUACAACAUCAAGCAAAGAAGCCUUUUUUUGACUACAUAAGAAAUGAACCUGCUUCUUCAUGAAGACCAUGAUAGUCUCUGGGAACUCAUAACCAACCAACCAGAUAUUCAGUGCUGAUGAUUUCAGGUAUCUCAGAUCCUCAGAAGGUGGAGGUGUUGCUACAGCAAGAGCAUCAGAAGCACCCCAUAGGUCACUGUUGUGUUCAUUCCAGUGUGAAUAUAACAUUUUCAACCGCUUACUGAAGUUAUUCAAAUCUAUAGAAUAAGGAUUGGUGGCUCCUGAAGGCUUGCCAUUUGGGGGUCGGACAUUAGCAUUACGGUCAGCCAUUGAAUGUAGCUCAAUUACAGAUUUUAAUUUCUAACCAACUCAGCUAGAAAAGUAGGCUAACCUGCAUAUAUUCUGAUAUAUCCGGACAACUAUCAGUUCAAAUCUUCCUCCAUAAAACAAUAGGUUGAGCUAAAUAGAGUUUCAAACGUAAAAUGAAAUAAAAUUGCAAACUUUGAUACAGGACUAAAUACAAUGUAACUAGAAAUCCGUGAAGAUCUUUAACCUAAUAAUGCAGAGAGAGAGAGAGGGGUAUAAAAAUACAAGAAAAGUGAUUGGUUAGUUCAAAUAAAAAAAAAAAACAUUUUUCGUGGUGGAAAUUAAGUUCAAAAUUUAAAGUGACACUUCCAAGUUUGCAGAUAAGAAGUCACUCUUAUAUUAUUUUAGUUAAUAGUUAAUUUUUACUUAAACAUUCAUUUCCUCAUACACCAAAACAAGGCAUUGAAUAAAUGCCCACUCCCCUGUAGCACAAGCACAACACCUCUGCACCCAAAGAUGAAAUACAGAAAAUAACUCCUUGUCAACUCCCACAGAUGAACAUCGAUCAAAUAAGUGAUUUUGGAUUAGAAAAAAAAAAAGGAUGAAGAAGAAGACGAAUAGGUGAGAUUAAUUACCUGUUUUAGCAAAACAUCACUUCCCCAUCGAAGAAUCAGAAAUCUAAUAAAAACUAUUAACGAAUCGCAAAUCGAUUAUUUCAGCUUCUGCAGUUAAAAAUUCUCGAUCUUCGACUCAGCUGCAAAGACCACAAAUAUCAGGGCUUGAAGUUACAUUUGGUGCUUGAAUCCUUAUAAUAACAAGGUAACGAACAAAACCCAGAUAGAAAAUAAAUGGAAAUUCACAGAUUACCGAUUAUAGCCAUGCGAUCAUUGGAAUUUUGAUUCAAAAUGGAAAACUGAAGUCUAAAUGUGUGGAAUUGAAGCAUCGACUAUGAUCAGGUGAAAGAGAAUCAGUCAUCAGAAGAUGGGGGAAAGGAAAUCUGGGUUGCAGUUUGAAUGUGAAAAAGGUUGGAGAUGACGAGAAGCAGAGGCCAACAGCAAAAAAGCCAAAAAGGAAAAAGAAACCAAUAAUGUAGAAAUGACUAUUUAUAUGUGAGAGGUCUAGCCCGUUCCCUCCAGUCCCUUCUCGUACGGUUCGUCUAUUGUUACGACCAGAAAGGCAGAAAGAAAAUUGGAUUCCUACUUUAAUAGUAAAAUAUCU